GUGGAGGUGACACUCUGUGGGGAGGUGACACUGUGGGGAGGUGACAUGGUGGAGGUGACACGGUGGAGGUGACACUGAGGGGAGGUGACGCUGCGGGGGGAGGUGACACAGUGGAGGUGACACUGUGUGGAGGUGACACCGAGGGGAGGUGACACUUUGUGGAGGUGACACUUUGUGGAGGUGACAUGGUGGAGGUGACACCGAGGGGAGGUGACACUGUGGGAAGGUGACAUGGUGGAGGUGACACGGUGGAGGUGACACCG
Molecule: long non-coding RNA, 263 nt
Filed under: Numida meleagris (helmeted guineafowl)
Lineage: Eukaryota; Metazoa; Chordata; Aves; Galliformes; Numididae
Description: lncRNA (ENSNMEG00000002459.1)
Source: RNAcentral